This 90-nucleotide transfer RNA is filed under the name bacterium. Its description in RNAcentral is "tRNA-Ser". It matches the Rfam family "tRNA". Rfam says of the family: Transfer RNA (tRNA) molecules are approximately 80 nucleotides in length. Their secondary structure includes four short double-helical elements and three loops (D, anti-codon, and T loops). The record is from RNAcentral.
GGAAGAUUGGCAGAGUGGUUGAAUGCACUGGUCUUGAAAACCAGCAAAGGGGAAACUCUUUCGAAGGUUCGAAUCCUUCAUCUUCCGCCA